Molecule: long non-coding RNA, 163 nt
Organism: Fundulus heteroclitus (mummichog)
Lineage: Eukaryota; Metazoa; Chordata; Actinopteri; Cyprinodontiformes; Fundulidae
Exons: 2
Source: RefSeq, a predicted model, not a curated record
UUACCGUACAAACUUCGCCUCCUGUGUUGUAAAUCUUUUCCAACACCUCCGAAAGCAAUGGCUUUUCACUCAGUGCUUUCAUUGAGCUUCCUGCACAAUUGUACUACAUUGUGAGAAGACCGUAAUAAAGGAGCAAGACGCUCAGCUUCCUGGCUCAUGAAAA